GCGAAUACCGGAGAAUGUUAUCACGGGAGACACACGGCGGGUGCUAACGUCCGUCGUGAAGAGGGAAACAACCCAGACCGCCAGCUAAGGUCCCAAAGUCAUGGUUAAGUGGGAAACGAUGUGGGAAGGCCCAGACAGCCAGGAUGUUGGCUUAGAAGCAGCCAUCAUUUAAAGAAAGCGUAAUAGCUCACUGGUCGAGUCGGCCUGCGCGGAAGAUGUAACGGGGCUAAACCAUGCACCGAAGCUGCGGCAGCGACACUCAGGUGUUGUUGGGUAGGGGAGCGUUCUGUAAGCCUGCGAAGGUGGCCUGUGAGGGUUGCUGGAGGUAUCAGAAGUGCGAAUGCUGACAUAAGUAACGAUAAAGCGGGUGAAAAGCCCGCUCGCCGGAAGACCAAGGGUUCCUGUCCAACGUUAAUCGGGGCAGGGUGAGUCGACCCCUAAGGCGAGGCCGAAAGGCGUAGUCGAUGGGAAACGGGUUAAUAUUCCCGUACUUGGUGUUACUGCGAAGGGGGGACGGAGAAGGCUAUGUUGGCCGGGCGACGGUUGUCCCGGUUUAAGCGUGUAGGUGUGUGUUCCAGGUAAAUCCGGUUCACUUUAACACUGAGGCGUGACGACGAGGCACUACGGUGCUGAAGCAACAAAUGCCCUGCUUCCAGGAAAAGCCUCUAAGCAUCAGGUAACAUCAAAUCGUACCCCAAACCGACACAGGUGGUCAGGUAGAGAAUACCAAGGCGCUUGAGAGAACUCGGGUGAAGGAACUAGGCAAAAUGGUGCCGUAACUUCGGGAGAAGGCACGCUGACACGUAGGUGAAGUGAUUUACUCAUGGAGCUGAAGUCAGUCGAAGAUACCAGCUGGCUGCAACUGUUUAUUAAAAACACAGCACUGUGCAAACACGAAAGUGGACGUAUACGGUGUGACGCCUGCCCGGUGCCGGAAGGUUAAUUGAUGGGGU
RNAcentral lists this ribosomal RNA (953 nucleotides) under Salmonella enterica subsp. enterica serovar Agona. Its description in RNAcentral is "partial 23S ribosomal RNA". It matches the Rfam family "Bacterial large subunit ribosomal RNA", at positions 956 to 1890 of the family's 2925-position model. Lineage: Bacteria; Pseudomonadati; Pseudomonadota; Gammaproteobacteria; Enterobacterales; Enterobacteriaceae. The record is from RNAcentral.